AGGUCACUGCUAUCGGGGUUCGAUUAAGCCAUGCGAGUCGAGAGGGUUCGGCCCCCGGCGUACUGCUCAGUAACACGUGGAUAACCUGCCCUGGGGAAGGGGAUAACCCCGGGAAACUGGGGAUAAUACCCUAUAGAUUACAGAUGCUGGAAUGCCCUGUAAUCCAAAGUUCCGACGCCCUAGGAUGGAUCUGCGGCCGAUUAGGUUGUUGUUGGGGUAAUGGCCCAACAAGCCCGUAAUCGGUACGGGUUGUGGGAGCAAGAGCCCGGAGUUGGAUUCUGAGACACGAAUCCAAGCCCUACGGGGCGCAGCAGGCGCGAAAACUUUACAAUGCGGGCAACCGUGAUAAGGGAACCUCGAGUGCCUGUAAAUGCAGGCUGUUCAGGUGCCUAAGACACACCUGAAGAAAGGGCCGGGCAAGACCGGUGCCAGCCGCCGCGGUAAUACCGGCGGCUCGAGUGGUGGCCGCUUUUAUUGGGCUUAAAGCGUUCGUAGCUGGGUUGGUUAGUCUCUUGGGAAAUCUGGCGGCUUAACCGUCAGGCGUCUAAGGGAUACUGGCAAUCUUGGAACCGGGAGAGGUGAGGGGUACUUCGGGGGUAGGA
Molecule: ribosomal RNA, 602 nt
Filed under: uncultured archaeon
Lineage: Archaea
Description: bacterial SSU rRNA
Rfam family: Archaeal small subunit ribosomal RNA
Source: RNAcentral